AACGAACGCUGGCGGCAGGCUUAACACAUGCAAGUCGAACGGCAGCACGGGAGGCAAUCCUGGUGGCGAGUGGCGAACGGGUGAGUAAUACAUCGGAACGUGCCCAGUAGUGGGGGAUAACCCGGCGAAAGCCGGACUAAUGCCGCAUACGACCUACGGGUGAAAGCAGGGGAUCGCAAGACCUUGCGCUAUCGGAGCGGCCGAUGUCAGAUUAGCUUGUUGGCGGGGUAAAAGCCCACCAAGGCGACGAUCUGUAGCUGGUCUGAGAGGACGACCAGCCACACUGGGACUGAGACACGGCCCAGACUCCUACGGGAGGCAGCAGUGGGGAAUUUUGGACAAUGGGCGCAAGCCUGAUCCAGCCAUUCCGCGUGCAGGAUGAAGG
RNAcentral lists this ribosomal RNA (385 nucleotides) under uncultured bacterium. RNAcentral describes it as "bacterial SSU rRNA". It matches the Rfam family "Bacterial small subunit ribosomal RNA", at positions 29 to 414 of the family's 1533-position model. The record is from RNAcentral.